GUUUUUCAUUUUCAUUUAUUUUGAUCCUCCAUAAAAAGAUUAAUUCGCCGCUUCCGUUAGUGUAAGGGUGGGGUGGAAAUCCCCCUCCUUCCCUUUCAGAGGUAUUUUGCUUCUUGGGGAUCUUUUCCAGGAAAUUAAAUGUAGAAUAGAAAAGAGAAGAUCGAAUUACUCACCCAGUUUCAAACACGCUGUUCAUAGUUGUGCUGGUUAGUGCUUUUGGACUUCGGUUGCUAGUAGCUUGGGCUGGAUGAUGCAAUACAGCCAGCCUUUCUCCUGUUGGGUUAGAAAGCUUUCCCCAAGUCGAACAGAAUGGCCGCCACUGUUCCAGAGCUGCUGGAGCACCCUUCUUUCUUGGUCGCCUCUUUGGGGUGACGUAGACCCAUUUAGGGUCCCCAGGCAGGGCGAAAUUAGCCGCGGGGGCGCAGAGAAUCUGCAAGCCCGCGACUGGUCACUACCGUGCAAAACUAGAAGUCAUUCAUUUAUCUUCAAGGAAUGAAUAGUGAUUGAAAAUACAUUCUGGAUUUGCAAUGUAAUGCAACAAUGUAGGUUACAUCCAACACGGGGACUUCACUAAAUCUCCAACUUGGGUACUUGCCAUGCCCAUUUGCCAGUAUUACUGGAGGUUUUUAAGAUUCAUAUUCUGUAUCUGGGCUGCCACUUCCAAUAAACUGCCCUUCUGGUUUCUGUAUCAUCUGCAGGCCACUUUAGCUGACUGUGUUCAGCAGGUCAGCGGUUCAAAUCUCACCGGCUCAAGGUUGACUCAGCCUUCCAUCCUUCCGAGGAGAAGAGCAAGCUGAGAAGGUGGGGUUAGAUGUGUCAUCAGUUUGGAGUCAUUGCGUUGCCACAAAGAGAACUAAGUCCAGCCACCCGUGAAUUCUGUUGACACUUACCUAGUGCCAAUUUAACUUUGACUAUUAGUUGCCUAGAUUCUUGUAUUAGUGGUAGCAAUAAUAAAAGCUAUGCUUUGAACUGAA
Molecule: long non-coding RNA, 974 nt
Organism: Crotalus tigris (Tiger rattlesnake)
Lineage: Eukaryota; Metazoa; Chordata; Lepidosauria; Squamata; Viperidae
Exons: 2
Source: RefSeq, a predicted model, not a curated record